The sequence is a transfer RNA, 84 nucleotides long. It matches the Rfam family "tRNA". Rfam says of the family: Transfer RNA (tRNA) molecules are approximately 80 nucleotides in length. Their secondary structure includes four short double-helical elements and three loops (D, anti-codon, and T loops). Further hydrogen bonds mediate the characteristic L-shaped molecular structure. tRNAs have two regions of fundamental functional importance: the anti-codon, which is responsible for specific mRNA codon recognition, and the 3' end, to which the tRNAs corresponding amino acid is attached (by aminoacyl-tRNA synthetases). tRNAs cope with the degeneracy of the genetic code in two manners: having more than one tRNA (with a specific anti-codon) for a particular amino acid; and 'wobble' base-pairing, i.e. permitting non-standard base-pairing at the 3rd anti-codon position.
GCUCACGUGGUGGAAUUGGUAGACACGCCAUCUUGAGGGGGUGGUGUCCUAAUGGACGUGCUGGUUCGACUCCAGUCGUGAGCA